UGAGUAACACGUAUCCAACCUGCCGUCUACUCUUGGCCAGCCUUCUGAAAGGAAGAUUAAUCCAGGAUGGCAUCAUGAGUUCACAUGUCCGCAUGAUUAAAGGUAUUUUCCGGUAGACGAUGGGGAUGCGUUCCAUUAGAUAGUAGGCGGGGUAACAGCCCACCAAGACGAUGAUAGGUAGGGGUUCUGAGAGGAAGGUCCCCCACAUUGGAACUGAGACACGGUCCAA
Molecule: ribosomal RNA, 229 nt
Filed under: uncultured bacterium
Lineage: Bacteria
Description: partial 16S ribosomal RNA
Rfam family: Bacterial small subunit ribosomal RNA
Source: RNAcentral